RNAcentral lists this ribosomal RNA (433 nucleotides) under uncultured bacterium. RNAcentral describes it as "partial 16S ribosomal RNA". It matches the Rfam family "Bacterial small subunit ribosomal RNA", at positions 29 to 507 of the family's 1533-position model. The record is from RNAcentral.
AACGAACGCUGGCGGCAUGCCUAACACAUGCAAGUCGAACGAGACCUUCGGGUCUAGUGGCGCACGGGUGCGUAACGCGUGGGAACCUGCCCUUAGGUUCGGAAUAACUCCCCGAAAGGGGUGCUAAUACCGGAUAAUGUCUUCGGACCAAAGAUUUAUCGCCUUUGGAUGGGCCCGCGUUGGAUUAGCUAGUUGGUAGGGUAAAAGCCUACCAAGGCGACGAUCCAUAGCUGGUCUGAGAGGAUGAUCAGCCACACUGGGACUGAGACACGGCCCAGACUCCUACGGGAGGCAGCAGUGGCGAAUAUUGGACCAUGGGCGCUAGCCUGAUCCAGCAAUGCCGCGUGAGUAAUGAAGGCCUUCGGGUUGUAAAGCUCUUUUACCCGGGAUGAUAAUGACAGUACCGGGAGAAUAAGCUCCGGCUAACUCCGUG